UACUAAACUUCAGGCAAUGACAAAAGAAGGAGCCAAAAAUGAACUUUUAAUCUUGUAAAUUAAGCGUGCUGUGGUUUUUUAUAAAAAACUUUUUUUUCCACUUCGGCACUCACUCGUGAACUUCGCCGGCAUUCGGGACACUUUCAGAAAUACCGGCUCGGCGUUUAAGGGUUAAGAAGUAUGAAGCUGGCAUGCAGUUGAGUGUGAUCACUAAGGAAUACGGCUGAAAUCCAUCGACGAUAGGCACCAUCCUUAAGCAGAAGGAAGCCAUCAAAGCAUCUACACUUUCCAAGGGUGUGACUAUUUUUUCCAACAAGAGGAGCCACAUGCAUGAUGAGAUGGAGAGGCUGCUUCUCAUAAGGAUUAAGGACAAAGAAAUUGCUGGCGAUACGAUAACUGAGACAGCAGUCUGCCAGAAGGCCAGUGCUAUUUUCGGUGAUCUGAGUGCUCAGGCCGAAGACGACACAGGAGAAGGGACAUCGAAGGCAACCCCAGACUUCAAGGCUUCUCGAGGUUGGUUUGAAAAAAUUUCGUAAACGGACUGGCAUCCAUUCGGUGGUGCAGCAUGGGGAGGCUGCCAGCAGUGAAGAAAUUCUUGGAAGAGAAGCUCCUCCCUCUGAAAUGUCUGCUGUUGUUGGACAGGGCCCCUGUUCACCCCCCUGGCCUCAAGGAAGAUAUCCUAGCGGAGUAUUCUUUCAUCAAGGUUCUUUAUCUUCCACCUAACACCACCCCUCUCCUCUCGCCCAUGGACCAGCAAGUGAUAUUGAACUUCAAGAAGCUAUAUACAAAACAUCUUUUCAAGAGAUGUUUCAACAUCACCAAUACCACAAACCUCACCCUGUGGGAAUUUUGGAAGGAGCAUUUUGAUAUCGUGAUAUGCAUCCGACUCAUCGAUCAAGCUUGGCAGGAGGUUUCGAGUUGAACCUUGAAUCCUUCAUGGAGGAAACUCUGGCCUGAUGCUGUAUCUGCCCGAGACUUCGAGGGGUUCAAUGUGGGUGAAGCUGAGGCAGAUUCGGAAACAGUUGACGAUCCUGAAACUGUUUUGCAACCAGAUCUUGACGAGAUCAUUGCACUCAGCAAGUCCAUGGGGCUGGUUGCUGACGAGGACGAUAUCAAUGACCUUCUCCAGGAGCACCAAUAGGAGCUUACGACUGAUGACCUGAAGGAGUUGGCGGCCAUGCAACAUAACUCAAGAAGAGUUUUCUAGCAGCAGCGAGGAGGAGGAGGAGGAGGACCCUAUGACAACGGCAGAAAUUAAAGAUGUCCUAGCUGCUUUUCAUAAAGUGCAAACAUUUGUAGAAAAGAGACACCCCAAAAAGGGUUACACAGGUCGUAUGCUUGCAAAGUUCGAUGACGUUUGCCUGAGUAGUUUCAGGAACAUUUUGAAAAGCAGGCAGAAGCAAACUUCCUUGGAUAGUUAUUUUUUAAAAGAGCCAUUUAAUAGUAAGCAAACAGGAAGGUCCAAGUGAUACGAAAAAACAGAAAAUUGGAAGUGGUGAAGAAAUUGAAAUUUGUUAAAAAAAAACUUAAAGUAAAAAAAUAAAAAGAUAAAAAAUAUCAGAAAAAUGCAAAAAAUAAAUUUAAUUUUAAGUUUUUCAUAAAGUUAAGUGUUAAUGUUUUCUGCCAUUUGUUAAUGUGUUUUGUAAACUUUAGUGUUAAUGUUUUCUGCCAUUUUUUAAUGUGUUUCAUAAAGUUAAGGGACCGCCCGUCAAAAAUGACGAAAUAUUUUGAAAAAAGUCGAUUUCUAGUGAAUCAACCAUCGAAUACUUCAUGGAAAUGGCAACCCACUCCCGAAGUUUCAGAGCAAUAUAUUGAUUCUAACUAUUUUUCUACAAUAUUUUGCUAAAAUAAGUUAUUAUUUUGACAAUCACACUCUUAUUUCCCUAUUAUUAGGUUAUACAGCGUAUAAUAUAAAUAUACAAGGAAUUAUAUACGUAUACAUAUAUCAUGAAUAAAAAUAAUGUUUAGCAACUCGUCCACUGCUAUACGGUAGCGAGUAGGCGAUGGACUGGAGCUUUGGAAGUCAGUGCCUUGAAGGCUAUCUUAGCAGACGGUCGUCUGUGUCGUCUGCUCGCGUGACGUUUCUUGUGUUUCGUCUGCUACUGUCACCGUUCAUCGGGCGAUUUUUUAGAUUUAUCUGGAUUCUCUACACUGCAAAUCAUUUCUGCAAUGCCCAGGAAGAAAGGCUACAUCAAGAGGAUGGCCGAAGCAGUUGAGAAAGCGAGAGAGGUGAAAAGGAGGAAACUGGAAGAGCGACGUGCGUCAGCCAUUUUAACUCCACCACCAACAGCUGAUCCUCCCCAGCCAUCAACGAGCCAUAUGACCGCCACCACACCAUUGCCUCCCUCCACCACUGGUGCUCCAACACAAACUCUCACCAGUUCAGUGCGUAGAAAGAUCAGUAUUAAAAAAAAAAGAAAAAGAAGGUGUACAAUAGCUGCUCUGCUGGAGCAUACUAGUCGCCGUGGGAUGUGUCAACUUUAAAUGCCAUUUUCUCAAAAAUUUUGCAUUCAGCAGAUGGGAGAAGAGUCCAGGUAUCAAGAUUGCCCUAAAAUAAAAUUUUCAAUUAGUUA
Molecule: long non-coding RNA, 2573 nt
Organism: Macrobrachium nipponense
Lineage: Eukaryota; Metazoa; Arthropoda; Malacostraca; Decapoda; Palaemonidae
Exons: 2
Source: RefSeq, a predicted model, not a curated record